GGGCACAUAGCGGAGUGGUUUACCGCAUCGGUUUUCGGUUUCGACUGAUUCCCGAAGGUCAUGGGUUCGAUCCCCAUUGUGCUCU
This 85-nucleotide transfer RNA is filed under the name Malassezia equina. RNAcentral describes it as "tRNA-Arg". It matches the Rfam family "tRNA". Rfam says of the family: Transfer RNA (tRNA) molecules are approximately 80 nucleotides in length. Lineage: Eukaryota; Fungi; Basidiomycota; Malasseziomycetes; Malasseziales; Malasseziaceae. The record is from RNAcentral.